CUUCAACCGCGUGAUCGGGUUCCAAGGCACGGCGGUCGCUCUCCUGACGCUGCUGCAGUACCCGCACUUCACCUGGGCGCAGUACCAACCCACCAUUGCUCUCACCGUGACGCUGGCCGCCCUGUUCCUGAACCUGCUUCAUCCUCUUCACCUGUGCAGUAAGACCUACCUGUCGAGGGUUUUGUCCUUCGACCAGUCUCAUUCUCAGGAAAAGCCAAUCAAGGUCUGAAUGAUAUCUUGGUGCACUUGUUAUGUUUAAAGUCUUAGAGUAUAUAUUUAAUAUAGAGAACAAAUUAUAUUUUAUGUCGCGAAAAA
Penaeus monodon (black tiger shrimp) is the source of this 315-nucleotide long non-coding RNA. RefSeq lists it as uncharacterized. The record is from RefSeq and is a predicted model, not a curated record. Lineage: Eukaryota; Metazoa; Arthropoda; Malacostraca; Decapoda; Penaeidae. The transcript is spliced from 2 exons.